RNAcentral lists this transfer RNA (72 nucleotides) under Candidatus Aenigmatarchaeota archaeon. Its description in RNAcentral is "tRNA-Met". It matches the Rfam family "tRNA". From Rfam's summary of the family: Transfer RNA (tRNA) molecules are approximately 80 nucleotides in length. Their secondary structure includes four short double-helical elements and three loops (D, anti-codon, and T loops). Lineage: Archaea; Nanobdellati; Candidatus Aenigmatarchaeota. The record is from RNAcentral.
GCCGGUGUGGCUCAGUGGGAGAGCGCUGCGCUCAUAACGCAGAGGUCGUGAGUUCGAUCCUCACCACCGGCA